UACGAAGGGGGCUAGCGUUGCUCGGAAUCACUGGGCGUAAAGGGUGCGUAGGCGGGUUUUUAAGUCAGGUGUGAAAUCCUGGAGCUCAACUCCAGAACUGCCUUUGAUACUGAAGAUCUUGAGUCCGGGAGAGGUGAGUGGAACUGCGAGUGUAGAGGUGAAAUUCGUAGAUAUUCGCAAGAACACCAGUGGCGAAGGCGGCUCACUGGCCCGGUACUGACGCUGAGGCACGAAAGCGUGGGGAGCAAACAGG
This 253-nucleotide ribosomal RNA is filed under the name uncultured bacterium. RNAcentral's name for it is "partial 16S ribosomal RNA". It matches the Rfam family "Bacterial small subunit ribosomal RNA", at positions 524 to 776 of the family's 1533-position model. The record is from RNAcentral.